This 420-nucleotide ribosomal RNA is filed under the name uncultured bacterium. Its description in RNAcentral is "bacterial SSU rRNA". It matches the Rfam family "Bacterial small subunit ribosomal RNA", at positions 357 to 774 of the family's 1533-position model. The record is from RNAcentral.
AGGAAUAUUGGUCAAUGGACGCAAGUCUGAACCAGCCAUGCCGCGUGGAGGAUUAAGGCCCUCUGGGUUGUACACUCCUUUUAUCUGGGAAGAAAUGUACUUUUUCUUGAGUACUUGACGGUACCAGAGGAAUAAGCACCGGCUAACUCCGUGCCAGCAGCCGCGGUAAUACGGAGGGUGCAAGCGUUAUCCGGAUUCACUGGGUUUAAAGGGUGCGUAGGUGGGCAGGUAAGUCAGUGGUGAAAUCUCCGGGCUUAACCCGGAAACUGCCGUUGGUACUAUUUCUCUUGAAUAUUGUGGAGGUAAGCGGAAUAUGUCAUGUAGCGGUGAAAUGCUUAGAUAUGACAUAGAACACCAAUUGCGAAGGCAGCUUACUACACAAUCAUUGACGCUGAGGCACGAAAGCGUGGGGAUCAAACA